UUACCACGAAAAACCUGAUUAUUGUUUUC
Molecule: small RNA, 29 nt
Filed under: Bombyx mori (domestic silkworm)
Lineage: Eukaryota; Metazoa; Arthropoda; Insecta; Lepidoptera; Bombycidae
Description: ovarian small RNA-36463
Source: RNAcentral